UUCCCUCUCCCCUCUCGUCUCACCCUCUCCUCCCUCUCCCUCUCCCGCCGCCGCCGCCGAGCGCCACAUCCGUCUCCCCCUCACGCUGCCGCCUCCACCUCCGCCGCCGUCGUGUCGCCGUCUCCGCCUACCCUCCUCCUCGUCGUCUCACCCUCUCGCGCCGCCGCCGCCUCCACCUCCGCCGCCGUCGUGUUGCUGUCUCCUCGCCCCUCCGUGUCCGCCUCUUCCUCGCGCCGUCGCCCGAGCGCAACCGUCUCCGCCUCCGCCACUGCCGUCGCUGUCGCCGAGUGCUGCCACUUCCGCCUUCGCC
This 310-nucleotide long non-coding RNA is filed under the name Oryza sativa (Asian cultivated rice). RNAcentral's name for it is "long non-coding RNA (OSAT_LNC000245)". The record is from RNAcentral. Lineage: Eukaryota; Viridiplantae; Streptophyta; Magnoliopsida; Poales; Poaceae.